Polypterus senegalus (gray bichir) is the source of this 316-nucleotide long non-coding RNA. RefSeq lists it as uncharacterized. The record is from RefSeq and is a predicted model, not a curated record. Lineage: Eukaryota; Metazoa; Chordata; Cladistia; Polypteriformes; Polypteridae. The transcript is spliced from 3 exons.
GGGAUGUGUUAGCAGGCUCCCUGCUGCCAGUGCUGAUCGUCACAUUUUCAAAACAAAAGACAUUGAUGAGGAGAUCAAACGUGAGCAUAAGGAGAACAUGGGAAGAGGUUAAAUUGAACUACAAGAAUUUACUUCAAGCUGAAAAACCGAAGACUAAAAGAAAUACAUCCUGGAACUCCUCUACGAAUCUGCUUGACACUACAGUAGUUCUACGAAGCACUCCUCUUACGGGUUCCAAACAACCGACUCCCAUCAAUGACCUCACUUCCUGUCCACUCCUGAUGUUCUCACUUUCGCCUAUGUCUGUGUCAUCAUC